This is an unclassified non-coding RNA of Macaca fascicularis (crab-eating macaque), 148 nucleotides long. It matches the Rfam family "Metazoan signal recognition particle RNA". Rfam says of the family: The signal recognition particle (SRP) is a universally conserved ribonucleoprotein. The record is from Ensembl. Lineage: Eukaryota; Metazoa; Chordata; Mammalia; Primates; Cercopithecidae.
GCUGGGCGUGGUGGCGCAUGCCUGUAAUCCCAGCUACUGGGGAGGUUGAGGCACGAGAAUCACUUGAACCUGGGAGGCAGAGAUUGCAGUGAGCCGGGAGUGUGCCACUGCACUCCAGCCUGAGUGACAGAGGGAGACCUUGUCUCUU